Molecule: long non-coding RNA, 313 nt
Filed under: Lathyrus oleraceus (garden pea)
Lineage: Eukaryota; Viridiplantae; Streptophyta; Magnoliopsida; Fabales; Fabaceae
Description: Pisum sativum (pea) long non-coding RNA (PSAT_LNC039983)
Source: RNAcentral
UUUUAUGUUGCCGGUUGUUGUCCUUACACCAUCUUGAGGACAAAGGAAUGUUAUGAGGACAGAAGGGUUGAUGUGAGGAGAAAGAGGAGUUGUGAUGAAAAGAAUCAUAUUCUAGAGAAGUAGGGAAGUAUUGGUUGUGAUCCGGAAGAUGGUGCUAUAUCUAGUGGGAGUAAUAAUUACAAGAGAGAUGCUGGAAUUGGUUGGGGCUUUUGGGAGAGAUUAGGCUCUCUCUAUUUGCCUAAGUCUAUAUUAUCUUUUUUUUUUUUAUAUUUGAUACUGCCUAAGUCUAUAUUAUCUUCUUUCUCUAUCUGCU